This 724-nucleotide ribosomal RNA is filed under the name uncultured Pseudoalteromonas sp. RNAcentral describes it as "bacterial SSU rRNA". It matches the Rfam family "Bacterial small subunit ribosomal RNA", at positions 74 to 792 of the family's 1533-position model. Lineage: Bacteria; Pseudomonadati; Pseudomonadota; Gammaproteobacteria; Alteromonadales; Pseudoalteromonadaceae. The record is from RNAcentral.
CAGGGGAUUUGUUGGACGGCGAGCGGCGGACGGGUGAGUAAUGCUUGGGAAUAUGCCUUAUGGUGGGGGACAACAGUUGGAAACGACUGCUAAUACCGCAUGAUGUCUACGGACCAAAGUGGGGGACCUUCGGGCCUCACGCCAUAAGAUUAGCCCAAGUGGGAUUAGCUAGUUGGUGAGGUAAUGGCUCACCAAGGCGACGAUCCCUAGCUGGUUUGAGAGGAUGAUCAGCCACACUGGGACUGAGACACGGCCCAGACUCCUACGGGAGGCAGCAGUGGGGAAUAUUGCACAAUGGGCGCAAGCCUGAUGCAGCCAUGCCGCGUGUGUGAAGAAGGCCUUCGGGUUGUAAAGCACUUCCAGUAAGGAGGAAAGGUUAGUCACUAAUAUUGGCUAGCUGUGACGUUACUUACAGAAGAAGCACCGGCUAACUCCGUGCCAGCAGCCGCGGUAAUACGGAGGGUGCGAGCGUUAAUCGGAAUUACUGGGCGUAAAGCGUACGCAGGCGGUUUGUUAAGCGAGAUGUGAAAGCCCCGGGCUCAACCUGGGAACUGCAUUUCGAACUGGCAAACUAGAGUGUGAUAGAGGGUGGUAGAAUUUCAGGUGUAGCGGUGAAAUGCGUAGAGAUCUGAAGGAAUACCGAUGGCGAAGGCAGCCACCUGGGUCAACACUGACGCUCAUGUACGAAAGCGUGGGGGAGCAAACAGGAUUAGAUACCCUGGUA